CACGUAGUUAGCCGUGGCUUCCUCCUCAGGUACCGUCAUUAUCGUCCCUGAAGACAGAGCUUUACAACCCGAAGGCCGUCAUCACUCACGUGGCGUUGCUGCAUCAGGGUUUCCCCCAUUGUGCAAUAUUCCCCACUGCUGCCUCCCGUAGGAGUCUGGGCCGUGUCUCAGUCCCAAUGUGGCCGAUCACCCUCUCAGGUCGGCUACGCAUCGUCGCCUUGGUGAGCCGUUACCUCACCAACUAGCUAAUGCGCCGCGGGCCCAUCUCAUAGCGGAUUACUCCUUUAAUUGCUACUUCAUGCGAAGCUACAAUCUUAUGCGGUAUUAAUCUCCUUCGGAAGCUAUUCCCCUCUAUGAGGCAGGUUCGCCCGCGUGUUACUCACCCGUCCGCCGCUAGUCUUUGUUCCGAAGAACUCCACUCGCUCGACUUGCUAUGUGUUAGGCACGCCGCCAGCGUUCGUCCGUGACGUCCGAGGACUACAACUACUC
RNAcentral lists this ribosomal RNA (489 nucleotides) under uncultured Clostridiaceae bacterium. Its description in RNAcentral is "partial 16S ribosomal RNA". The record is from RNAcentral. Lineage: Bacteria; Bacillati; Bacillota; Clostridia; Eubacteriales; Clostridiaceae.